This 189-nucleotide small nuclear RNA is filed under the name Globisporangium irregulare DAOM BR486. RNAcentral describes it as "snRNA EPrPIrr00000013130". It matches the Rfam family "U2 spliceosomal RNA". From Rfam's summary of the family: U2 is a small nuclear RNA (snRNA) component of the spliceosome (involved in pre-mRNA splicing). Complementary binding between U2 snRNA (in an area lying towards the 5' end but 3' to hairpin I) and the branchpoint sequence (BPS) of the intron results the bulging out of an unpaired adenosine, on the BPS, which initiates a nucleophilic attack at the intronic 5' splice site, thus starting the first of two transesterification reactions that mediate splicing. Lineage: Eukaryota; Oomycota; Peronosporomycetes; Pythiales; Pythiaceae. The record is from RNAcentral.
ACACCUUCUCGACCUAAUGGCUAAUAUCAUGUGCAGUAUCUGUUCUAAUCAAUGUGACAACUGAUUUCCUCGAAUUUCGAGGUUCUUUUUACGUUCAUUUUUGCAGAGGUUGUGCACGCGCGUAGCUUGCUGUGUCAGCGCGACUGGUCUCUGCGAGAUUGCGCUCUCCCCGUGCGAGGCCAAUCACCU